Molecule: non-coding RNA, 45 nt
Filed under: Schistosoma margrebowiei
Lineage: Eukaryota; Metazoa; Platyhelminthes; Trematoda; Strigeidida; Schistosomatidae
Source: RNAcentral
AUCCAGCUGACGAGUCCCAAAUCGGACGAAGAAAGUGUCCUGGAU